Molecule: ribosomal RNA, 446 nt
Filed under: uncultured bacterium
Lineage: Bacteria
Description: partial 16S ribosomal RNA
Rfam family: Bacterial small subunit ribosomal RNA
Source: RNAcentral
CCUACGGGGGGCAGCAGUCGAGAAUCAUGCACAAUGGGGGAAACCCUGAUGGCGCGACGCCGCGUGGGGGAAUGAAGGUCUACGGAUUGUAAACCCCUGUCAUGUGGGAGCAAAUUAAAAAGAUAGUACCACAAGAGGAAGAGACGGCUAACUCUGCGCAAGCAGCCGCGGUAAUACAGAGGUCUCAAGCGUUGUUCGGAAUCACUUGACGUAAGGCGUGCGUAGGCUGUUUCGUAAGUAGUGUGUGAAAGGCGCGGGCUCAACCCCCGGACGGCACCUGAUACUGCGAGACUAGAGUAAUGGAGGGGGAACCGGAAUUCUCGGUGUAGCAGUGAAAUGCGUAGAUAUCGAGCGGAACACUCGUGGCGAAGGCGGGUUCCUGGACAUUAACUGACGCUGAGGCACGAAGGCCAGGGGAGCGAAAGGGAUUAGAUACCCGGGUAGUC